GAGAGGCAGUGGCAGAGGGGGGGCACCUUUUAUUUCUAUUUUUAAAGGGACAGGACACUAAUUCUACCCCACUUCAACCUUGAAUUCAGGGGGGUGGGGGGAAGGCGGCUGAGUUCCUUCCCCCACCUUCCAGCCCUGAGCCCUGAGAGGGGGAUUGAGCCUGAGAGAGGAGAAGGAGUUUCUUCUUCUUCGAAAACCCCCAUCCACGACUCCUACCCCCUCACCCCUCCAACUCGCCUCCCUCCCGAGCCCCCUCCACCCUCCUCCUCUUUGGCCGUGAGAGGAGGAGAGAAAGAAACCAAAAGCCUCUUAGCAACACAGACCCUUUGCUGCUGCUGUUGCUGCUGCUGCUGCUGUUGCUGCUGCUGCUACUGCUGCUGCUGCUACUGCUGCUGCUGCUACUGCUGCUGCUUGGCCCUGGCUGGAGACAUCUCACUACACCCAGGAGCAGCCACUUCCCCAGCUCUCCUCCUCCUCCUUCGCCUCCUCCUCCUCCACUCCCCCCCUUUAUUACCCUUUGUGUCAUCCUCCACAGCUCCAGGGAAGGCACUCAAAAGUGGGGGGCAGGAAAGCCCACAUAUGACAGUGGACAUAGAGGACAACGCAGAUAUAGAACAUUUCUUUUAUCACAGUAAGUUCUUUGGAUAACACUGCUCUAGCACAAUACUUUCUAAAAUGUGUCCCAUGAAUCACAGUGGUG
This 700-nucleotide long non-coding RNA is filed under the name Pan troglodytes (chimpanzee). Its description in RNAcentral is "long non-coding RNA NONPTRT010790". The record is from RNAcentral. Lineage: Eukaryota; Metazoa; Chordata; Mammalia; Primates; Hominidae.